ACUGGUCUCGACGGGGGUUUGGAGUCUUCAGAAGCGAGCCGUGUUUUUGUUUCGGGUACACGUUAAAGAACGGGACACCUAAAGAUAAACGCUAACGAAAAUUACGCUUUAGCAGCUUAAUAUAGCUGCUCGUCACCUUCGGUAAACCCGCGGGCCGAAACGUGACGUCAACUUAGCGGGGAACGCCGCAGGGGGGUGCCUUGACCCUGCGUUGUACAACUGGGGCUGGUCAAACCUAAAUGCUGUUGCUGGCAGUUAGGCAAGACGAGAUCUAAAUCAGCAGCUGCGCUCGGAGAAACUGGUGGCAAAGGGCCUUCGGACAGGGGUUCGACU
This 333-nucleotide transfer-messenger RNA is filed under the name Anoxynatronum buryatiense. It matches the Rfam family "transfer-messenger RNA". Rfam says of the family: Bacterial tmRNA, also known as 10Sa RNA or SsrA, is named for its dual tRNA and mRNA-like properties. Its role is to liberate the mRNA from a stalled ribosome. Lineage: Bacteria; Bacillati; Bacillota; Clostridia; Eubacteriales; Clostridiaceae. The record is from RNAcentral.